RNAcentral lists this ribosomal RNA (263 nucleotides) under uncultured bacterium. Its description in RNAcentral is "partial 16S ribosomal RNA". It matches the Rfam family "Bacterial small subunit ribosomal RNA", at positions 109 to 353 of the family's 1533-position model. The record is from RNAcentral.
AGUAACACGUAAACAACCUGCCUUCAGGAUGGGGACAACAGACGGAAACGACUGCUAAUACCGAAUAAGUUCCAAGAGCCGCAUGGCCCACGGAAGAAAAGGUGGCCUCUACCUGUAAGCUAUCGCCUGAAGAGGGGUUUGCGUCUGAUUAGCUGGUUGGAGGGGUAACGGCCCACCAAGGCGACGAUCAGUAGCCGGUCUGAGAGGAUGAACGGCCACACUGGAACUGAGACACGGUCCAGACUCCUACGGGAGGCAGCAUG